AAUGGCUAAGAUGAUAACAUUGACGACAUACUGAAAGAAUUUAUAGAUGACGUACAACUAGAAAGGAUAAUAAACAAGUUGGAUAAUAUAAGAGGAUUCCCCUCCCCCCACCAAAUCCUGACAAAAUGUAAUAAUGCAUCAUAUAUAACAAUAUAAGGUUUAACAGGGACAAAUCUAAAGUACUCAAAGAUCCCCAGAUUCAAUUAUACAAGUACAGGUUGGGGGCGAGAUGACUUACAAUUGUUCACGUAGGAAGAUUUAGAGUCUCCAGUUGAUUGUGAGUAGAUGAUGAGUCAACACAGUGUGAUGUAACUUCCAAAAAAAUCAAUCUUUUGUUAUAUUAAUAGAAAUGUAGUGUUCAAGUCAGGAAGUAGUUCUCUAGUACUUACAGGUGAUCAGGCCACUUCUGUUCUAUUUUAUGAAUCCUGAUCUUCAGCCUUUAAGAAAGACAUUGACUGGAGCUCCUGCCAUGGCUCAGCGGAAAUGAACCUGACUAGUAUCCAUGAGGAUGUGGGUUCGAUUCUUGGCCCCGCUCUCUGGGUUUAGAAUCCAGCAUUGCAGUGAGCUGUGGUGUAGUUUAUAGACACAGCUCAGAUCUCGCGUUGCUGCGGCUGUGGUGUAGGCUGGCAACUAUAGCUCCGAUUUAACCCCUAGCCUGGGAACCUCCAUAUGCCGCACCUGUGGCCCUAAAAAACAAAAAAAAGAAAAUAUCAUGUCAGAUAUGAUUAAAAGAUCUAAGAUUUUAUGUGGGUGUUUAAGAAGAAAGGUGAUAUGUAGCAUAUAAACUCCUAAAGUUAGUGGGGGCUAUCCUGCAAGGAGAGAUUAGAUUUCUUCUGGGCAACCCCAAAUGACAAAUGGAAGACUUGGGAGUGGAAGAAGUAAGCAUGUAUAUUACAACCUGUUAGAAUUUAUUAACAGUUAUGUUUGCCCAUCCAUCAAGUGGAUAACAGGAAGAGGUUGUAAGUUCCCUGACCCUGGUCAGAUUCGAACAGAAGUUGGGCAUUCAUGCCUCAUGUGCUGAAUACAUUUGCAAUGGAAGUUCAAACACAGGGGUGAGGGAAUGGGUUAAUCACAAUAGCAAACACAUAUUGAGUGUUUCCUAUAUGGCAGGGACCAUAAUAAGUGAUUAAUAUGGGUUAUUAUUUUUAAUACUCACAUCAAAUCUACUAGCUCCAUCUUAGAGGUGAGAAAAGUGAGGCUCUGAGGGGUUAAGUAACUUGCUCAAGGUCUUACACCUUGUUCAAAGUAGAAUAAAGAGUUUUAACGUAGGCGAUCCUCAGCUUCAACUUAUUAUUCUAUAAGGACUCCUGCUUCUAGAAAACCAUCCUAUCCCACCCUGAGAUUCUACCACUGUAAUGAAGUAAUCAGACCAAGGAGCUAUUAUCACCAGUUGUAAAUGAUCCUAUAGUAAAUAGAUUCUUUCAGUGCAGUAAGCAGGCACUAAAUUAGCCUGAGCAUUUACCACUUGAGGUAUGCUAUAUGGAGCCCAGCAUAGGGCCUGACACACAAUAGGUGCUCAAUAAUUAUUUACUAAGGGAAAAUAAUGAGUGAAUGCAACCACACAUGUUGCAUUUGAAAUGAUAGAAUCUCAAUAUAUUGUGCCUGAGUUAAAACAAGCACAUUUCUGGGUGAUUUACUGAGAACACUGGCAAAAAGUGAUAAUCCAUCAUUCCUGGCAAAGGCCUUGAGAAUUCCUUCUCAGUUCUUUGGACAAUAUUCAUUUAAACAAAUAUUUAUUGAGUACCUGUCCUGUGCCAGGUAUGUCCAAUGUGCUGAGGUGCAGAGGUGAAUCAGAGGAUGCACUGUUAGUGGGGGAGAUGGACAGGUAAGCAAAUUCUUAUGAUACAAUGUGACAAGUACUUAGCAUGUGUGGGUGUGUGUGUGUGUUUUAAGUAUCACAGGGAUACAGUGCAGAAAGGAACUAAUUCUCCUUGACUGAAGGAGUUGUCCAAUACUUUAUGUUUUCAAAAUGACUGUCACAUGUUGCAUGAGUUUAUAUGAUCUUCAUAAAGACCGUAUGAAGUUGUGAUCCCUUUUGAACAUAAGUUGAAGUAGAGCAUCAUAGACGUUAGGUGAGUUCCCCAAUGUUAUGCAGCUAGUAAUAAUAAUUGCUGACAUUUACUGAGUGGUUAGGUUACCUGAGGCUCUGUUCCAAGCCCUAUAAAGAUGAUGCAUCUUCACAACAACUCUAUGAGGUCAUUAUUGAUAUUAUUACCAUUUUACAAAUGAGAAAAUGGAAGUCAAGAUUUAAAUAAUUUGCCUAGAGUCACAUAACUAGCAAGUGGAAAAACAAGAACUUGCACCUACCAUUCCAGCUUUAGCAGGCAUACAUUUACCCACCGCAUUAAAUUACCUUUAACCAGUCCCCUGAAGAGCUGGAAGUCACAUUUAGGUUCUGACUCCAAGUUCAGCAUUCUUUCAAGUGACCUAGCUCUUUAGCAAUAUUACAUCCAAAUAAAAGAAAUAGUGUGUGCCUGGAUACAAGGACAGGUUGUGUAGGUCAGGCACCCAUGGAAAGGUUUUGGGAGAGGAUUGGUAAAAUCUAAAAUAUGCACUAGUGUGUAUGCAGCAUUCUUCAGGGCAGCCAGAAUUUGGCCUCUUGUUUUUCAAGUCAGCAGUCUGAGCUCUAGUGUCUAUCAUUUGUUAUACAUAGGAACUAGCUACCAACGCUUACCCUGCAGCCUUUUUUUUUUUUUCUUCCAUGGCAUGGUAAAGUUCCCAGACCAGGAAUCGAACACAUACCACAGCUGUAACCAGAGCUACAGAGGUGACAACACUGGAGCCUUAACACAUUGAGCCCCAAGGGAACGCCACCCUGCAGCCUUUUAAAGUUUAGUUUAAAUCUUUUAAGAUGACAAGAUGUGAAACAUCAAGGAUGAAACAAGUUAAAUUCAAUACCUAAUAUAUCAGCAAGAAUGGAGAUACAGAAAAGGAUAAAUGAAGCACAUAAUUGCUUAAACUGUCCAAGCUUUCUCUCCAUAAUAACAAUUCUUGGAUUGAAAAAUAGUUCUAUCUAAUGUUAUUGUACCUUAAUAAUUAGGUUGAGUUGGCUCCAUGGCAAAUCUGAGAAAGAAUUGGUUAUUAAAAUGAAUGAAGUAGAUUACCCUUACCUCAGUAAUUAUAACUUCAGUUAAUGUGGAUAUGACCUAAGCAAUUGAAUCGACUGUAUUUUUAAGUCAACUGCCUCCCAUAAUUUUUGGAGAUUCGGUGAUUUAAAAAUCAGCGACAGGUGGAGAUUUCUGUGGUAGGUGGAGGAGCAGCAGAGGUCAAUGUUCUUCGAUAUUCUUUGCUUCAAAGCAAGUGGGGGUUUUUUUGGUUUCGAUUGGUUUUCAAUGUUUUGUUUUGUCAUGUAUGGAGACCUAGUGGAUGCAACUGAUUUAUCUUGGUCUUUGUGUUUAUAGAUUUCUGUUUUCUGGGCUUCAGUUCCUUGGAAACAUUUGUUUUGAUGGUGGCAGGAGAGUUAGUCAUGUUUUAUUUUUGUUGUUCCUAUUUAUUUUUAAGAUCCUUUAGUUCAAGUCCACUUACAAGGUGUUAUAUAACCUGUAUUUAUAUUUCCACAAAUAAAACAUUCCUAGUUGUAAUUUCUAGUAUACUCAUAAAGUCAGCUAAUAACUUGAUGCCCAUCAGAAUGAUUCUGUAAUAUUAGUAAGCUAGAACAAGGAUAUACUUUGGAAAAUUG
Molecule: long non-coding RNA, 3679 nt
Filed under: Sus scrofa (pig)
Lineage: Eukaryota; Metazoa; Chordata; Mammalia; Artiodactyla; Suidae
Description: lncRNA (ENSSSCG00025006655.1)
Source: RNAcentral